UGGGGAAUAUUGCACAAUGGGCGCAAGCCUGAUGCAGCCAUGCCGCGUGUAUGAAGAAGGCCUUCGGGUUGUAAAGUACUUUCAGCGGGGAGGAAGGCGAUAAGGUUAAUAACCUUGUCGAUUGACGUUACCCGCAGAAGAAGCACCGGCUAACUCCGUGCCAGCAGCCGCGGUAAUACGGAGGGUGCAAGCGUUAAUCGGAAUUACUGGGCGUAAAGCGCACGCAGGCGGUCUGUCAAGUCGGAUGUGAAAUCCCCGGGCUCAACCUGGGAACUGCAUUCGAAACUGGCAGGCUAGAGUCUUGUAGAGGGGGGUAGAAUUCCAGGUGUAGCGGUGAAAUGCGUAGAGAUCUGGAGGAAUACCGGUGGCGAAGGCGGCCCCCUGGACAAAGACUGACGCUCGGGUGCGAAAGCGUGGGGAGCAAACA
RNAcentral lists this ribosomal RNA (427 nucleotides) under uncultured bacterium. RNAcentral's name for it is "partial 16S ribosomal RNA". It matches the Rfam family "Bacterial small subunit ribosomal RNA", at positions 355 to 774 of the family's 1533-position model. The record is from RNAcentral.